CGGUACAUCGGUGACAGGUGGUGCAUGGGUUGUCGUCAGCUCGUGUCGUGAGAUGUUGGGUUAAGUCCCGCAACGAGCGCAACCCUAUUGUUAGUUGCCAUCAUUCAGUUGGGCACUCUAGCGAGACUGCCGGUAAUAAACCGGAGGAAGGUGGGAUGACGUCAAAUCAUCAUGCCCCUUAUGACCUGGCUACACACGUGCUACAAUGGUUGGUACAACGAGUUGCGAGUCGGUGACGGCGAGCUAAUCUCUUAAAGCCAAUCUCAGUUCGGAUUGUAGGCUGCAACUCGCCUACAUGAAGUCGGAAUCGCUAGUAAUCGCAGGUCAGCAUACUGCGGUGAAUACGUUCCCGGGCCUU
This 358-nucleotide ribosomal RNA is filed under the name uncultured Streptococcus sp. Its description in RNAcentral is "bacterial SSU rRNA". It matches the Rfam family "Bacterial small subunit ribosomal RNA", at positions 1021 to 1382 of the family's 1533-position model. The record is from RNAcentral. Lineage: Bacteria; Bacillati; Bacillota; Bacilli; Lactobacillales; Streptococcaceae.